GUAUAAGUAAUGUGCUGAUUUGACCAAAAAAAAUAAAAAAAAAUAAACCUUUUUGGCAUAUGUAUAUAAAUAUUUGUAUAAUACUUGGGGUCACUUUUGUAAAUAAGAUACCCCAUUUGGGUUGCACAAGUUUGAGUAUCAUCUCCAAGUUCCCAGUAAAAUCUGCCGCCCUACCAUCCUUGUAACCGAGACCAAUAAUCAGUUUAGGGGGAAGUUUUCUGCCCCACAACCUUUUUACCAGUCGUGUUAUAUCAGCAUUAUAUCUUCAGUUAAGAACAUUUCAUCACAUGCUUGUGAUCUUACACCAAGGUCAUUUAACACAGAGAAGCUUGCUGGUUUGGGUCAAAAACUAAAAAAAUGAUUGGAAAUAAUGUAUUUUCAAUUAUUGUUGUGUACUAAACAUAGGAAGGAAAAUACAUUUUUGGAAAAUCUCAAGAAGUGGAGCACAUGAAUACAGAGAUCACAUCACAGGACACCAAUGCUGAGGCAGAGGAGUGGCCUGCCCUGACCUGCACCUGAUGAAUCCCCCAUGGAGCAUUCCGUGCAGACCAAUGGGCCAGCCAGACAGUCACCCUACACCUGCUCCUUUCUUCAAAGCAGAGGUGCAGACGCAGGGUGGCAGGUGUGGGAGUAUCUGCCCCUCUCCUUGUCAAAACAGCUUGUACUAGAGGAGAGCACACUUCCCUUCUGGUGGCUUCCGUGAUGACAGCACCUGUUUGCCGAACCUUGACUUGUUAUAUCUAAUAAAGAUAUAAUGACAACACAAAUAAUGACAAUUCAAACAUAAAAACUGUGACCUUUGGCUUCACACUUGGGAUACUGUACUCCUUACAAAAGCCUCCACACCUGCAAGCAAAGGGCAGAGGGAAAGAAUCACAGCCAAGAAAGGCAGGAGGGAUAAGGAGGUGGCGAACAACAACCAAAUGCGACAAGACACUACUCAAGAAAAUCAGGCGAGUUUACACAGCUGUUGAUGUUUAUGAGAAUUAGGACCCCUUUACCAUUCUAAUCAAUUGCAUGCUGGAGGCACAGAGUUGUCUUCGCCAAAAACAUCACUGCACCAUAUAAUUGAAAGGCAGUGUAUCUUAGUAGUGUGUCGCGAGUUCCUUUUCUAAACCGAGUAAGGAACUUAGCGAUAGCCCACAAACUGCAAUUAAUUCCACAUAAUUUAUCAGCGACAGAUGUGUUAAGUUGAGAUGUGAAACUCUUUGGAGGUGCAGACAUUU
Molecule: long non-coding RNA, 1226 nt
Organism: Anguilla rostrata (American eel)
Lineage: Eukaryota; Metazoa; Chordata; Actinopteri; Anguilliformes; Anguillidae
Exons: 3
Source: RefSeq, a predicted model, not a curated record